Molecule: unclassified non-coding RNA, 334 nt
Filed under: soil metagenome
Description: partial contains 5.8S ribosomal RNA, internal transcribed spacer 2, and large subunit ribosomal RNA
Rfam family: 5.8S ribosomal RNA (bases 1-120)
Source: RNAcentral
GAUGAAGAACGCAGCGAAAUGCGAUAAGUAAUGUGAAUUGCAGAAUUCAGUGAAUCAUCGAAUCUUUGAACGCACAUUGCGCCCGCCAGUAUUCUGGCGGGCAUGCCUGUUCGAGCGUCAUUUCAACCAUCAAGCCCCCGGGCUUGUGUUGGGGACCUGCGGCUGCCGCAGGCCCUGAAAACCAGUGGCGGGCUCGCUAGUCACUCCGAGCGUAGUAGUUACAUCUCGCUCAGGGCGUGCUGCGGGUUCCGGCCGUUAAAAGCCUUUACCCCAAGGUUGACCUCGGAUCAGGUAGGAAGACCCGCUGAACUUAAGCAUAUCAAUAAGCGGAGGA